This is a small nucleolar RNA of Lycium ferocissimum, 105 nucleotides long. The record is from RefSeq and is a predicted model, not a curated record. Lineage: Eukaryota; Viridiplantae; Streptophyta; Magnoliopsida; Solanales; Solanaceae.
AAACCAUGAUUCAGCGACCGCAUCAAGUACUGCUUGAACCUCUCCCAUGCUUCAUACAAUUGUUCCCCCGAAAGUUGCUUGAACUCAUAAACUUUGUCUGGGAUU